CCUACGGGAGGCAGCAGUGAGGAAUAUUGGUCAAUGGUCGGGAGACUGAACCAGCCAAGCCGCGUGAGGGAUGAAGGUACAGAGUAUCGUAAACCUCUUUUGUCAGGGAACAAAGGCGGGGACGUGUCCCCGGAUGAGUGUACCUGAAGAAAAAGCAUCGGCUAACUCCGUGCCAGCAGCCGCGGUAAUACGGAGGAUGCGAGCGUUAUCCGGAUUUAUUGGGUUUAAAGGGUGCGCAGGCGGUCUGUUAAGUCAGCGGUCAAAGCCCGGGGCUCAACCCCGGCCCGCCGUUGAAACUGGGAGUCUCGAGUUGGAGAGAAGGAAGCGGAAUGCGCGGUGUAGCGGUGAAAUGCUUAGAUAUCGCGCAGAACUCCGAUUGCGAAGGCAGCAUGCCGGCUCCACACUGACGCUGAGGCACGAAAGCGUGGGUAGCGAACAGGAUUAGAUACCCCUGUAGUC
RNAcentral lists this ribosomal RNA (459 nucleotides) under uncultured bacterium. RNAcentral's name for it is "partial 16S ribosomal RNA". It matches the Rfam family "Bacterial small subunit ribosomal RNA", at positions 338 to 795 of the family's 1533-position model. The record is from RNAcentral.